GAGGAUAUAGCUCAGUGGUAGGGCCCACGCCUAGCAUGUACAGGGUCCUGGGUUCAAUCCCCAGUACCUCCA
RNAcentral lists this transfer RNA (72 nucleotides) under Camelus bactrianus (Bactrian camel). It matches the Rfam family "tRNA". Rfam says of the family: Transfer RNA (tRNA) molecules are approximately 80 nucleotides in length. Their secondary structure includes four short double-helical elements and three loops (D, anti-codon, and T loops). Further hydrogen bonds mediate the characteristic L-shaped molecular structure. tRNAs have two regions of fundamental functional importance: the anti-codon, which is responsible for specific mRNA codon recognition, and the 3' end, to which the tRNAs corresponding amino acid is attached (by aminoacyl-tRNA synthetases). tRNAs cope with the degeneracy of the genetic code in two manners: having more than one tRNA (with a specific anti-codon) for a particular amino acid; and 'wobble' base-pairing, i.e. permitting non-standard base-pairing at the 3rd anti-codon position. The record is from Rfam by way of RNAcentral. RNAcentral also lists the same sequence under 2 other names. Lineage: Eukaryota; Metazoa; Chordata; Mammalia; Artiodactyla; Camelidae.